RNAcentral lists this ribosomal RNA (466 nucleotides) under uncultured Alphaproteobacteria bacterium. Its description in RNAcentral is "partial 16S ribosomal RNA". Lineage: Bacteria; Pseudomonadati; Pseudomonadota; Alphaproteobacteria. The record is from RNAcentral.
UUACCGCGGCUGCUGGCACGAAGUUAGCCGGAGCUUCUUCUCCGGGUACCGUCAUUAUCGUCCCCGGUGAAAGAAUUUUACAAUCCUAAGACCUUCAUCAUUCACGCGGCAUGGCUGCGUCAGGCUUUCGCCCAUUGCGCAAGAUUCCCCACUGCUGCCUCCCGUAGGAGUCUGGGCCGUGUCUCAGUCCCAGUGUGGCUGAUCAUCCUCUCAGACCAGCUACUGAUCGUCGCCUUGGUGAGCCUUUACCUCACCAACUAGCUAAUCAGACGCGGGCCGCUCCAAUGGCGAUAAAUCUUUCCCCCGAAGGGCACAUUCGGUAUUAGCUCAAGUUUCCCUGAGUUGUUCCGAACCAAAGGGCACGUUCCCACGUGUUACUCACCCGUCCGCCACUAUCCCGAAGGAUCGUUCGACUUGCAUGUGUUAGGCCUGCCGCCAGCGUUCGCUCUGAGCCAGGAUCAAACUC